This 640-nucleotide ribosomal RNA is filed under the name uncultured bacterium. RNAcentral's name for it is "bacterial SSU rRNA". It matches the Rfam family "Bacterial small subunit ribosomal RNA", at positions 202 to 842 of the family's 1533-position model. The record is from RNAcentral.
GAAAGAUUCAUCGGAAGAGGAUGGGCAUGCGGCGCAUUAGCUAAACGGCGGGGUAACGGCCCACCGUGGCGACGAUGCGUAGGGGUUCUGAGAGGAAGGUCCCCCACACUGGUACUGAGACACGGACCAGACUCCUACGGGAGGCAGCAGUGAGGAAUAUUGGUCAAUGGGAGAGAUCCUGAACCAGCCAAGCCGCGUGAGGGAAGACGGCCCUAUGGGUUGUAAACCUCUUUUGUCGGAGAACAAAACCCGGGACGUGUCCCGGACUGCGUGUAUCCGAAGAAAAAGCAUCGGCUAACUCCGUGCCAGCAGCCGCGGUAAUACGGAGGAUGCGAGCGUUAUCCGGAUUUAUUGGGUUUAAAGGGUGCGUAGGCGGUCCGUUAAGUCAGCGGUAAAAUUGCGGGGCUCAACCCCGUCGAGCCGUUGAAACUGGCAGACUUGAGUUGGCGAGAAGUACGCGGAAUGCGCGGUGUAGCGGUGAAAUGCAUAGAUAUCGCGCAGAACUCCGAUUGCGAAGGCAGCGUACCGGCGCCAGACUGACGCUGAGGCACGAAAGCGUGGGGAUCGAACAGGAUUAGAUACCCUGGUAGUCCACGCAGUAAACGAUGAAUGCUGGUUGUCCGGGUCGAAUGAGACCUGG